AGUGAACGCUGGCGGUAGGCCUAACACAUGCAAGUCGAACGGCAGCACAGUAAGAGCUUGCUCUUACGGGUGGCGAGUGGCGGACGGGUAAGGCAUACAUCGGCAUCUACUUUUCCGUGGGGGAUAACGUAGGGCAACUUACGCUACUACCUCAUACGACCUACGGGUGAAAGCAGGGGAUCUUCGGACCUUGCGCGCUCUAAUGAGCCGAUGUCGGAUUAGCUAGUUGGCGGGGUAAAGGCCCACCAAGGGAACGAUCCGUAGCUGGUCUGGGGGGAUGGUCAGCCACACGGGAAUGGGGACACGGUCCAGACUCCUAGGGGGGGCAGAGGUGGGGAAUUUUGGACAAGGGGGGAAAGCCUGAUGCAGCAAGACCGCGGGGGGGAAGAAGGUCUUCGGGUUGUAAAGCCCUUUUGUUGGGAAAGAAGAGCAGCAGGUUAAUACGCCGAUGUUCUGACGGUACCCAAAGAGUAAGCACCGGCUAACUUCGUG
This 492-nucleotide ribosomal RNA is filed under the name uncultured bacterium. RNAcentral describes it as "partial 16S ribosomal RNA". It matches the Rfam family "Bacterial small subunit ribosomal RNA", at positions 29 to 507 of the family's 1533-position model. The record is from RNAcentral.